This 1105-nucleotide ribosomal RNA is filed under the name Acinetobacter sp. RNAcentral's name for it is "bacterial SSU rRNA". It matches the Rfam family "Bacterial small subunit ribosomal RNA", at positions 79 to 1178 of the family's 1533-position model. The record is from RNAcentral. Lineage: Bacteria; Pseudomonadati; Pseudomonadota; Gammaproteobacteria; Moraxellales; Moraxellaceae.
CUUGCUACUGAUCUUAGCGGCGGACGGGUGAGUAAUGCUUAGGAAUCUGCCUAUUAGUGGGGGACAACAUUUCGAAAGGAAUGCUAAUACCGCAUACGUCCUACGGGAGAAAGCAGGGGAUCUUCGGACCUUGCGCUAAUAGAUGAGCCUAAGUCGGAUUAGCUAGUUGGUGGGGUAAAGGCCUACCAAGGCGACGAUCUGUAGCGGGUCUGAGAGGAUGAUCCGCCACACUGGGACUGAGACACGGCCCAGACUCCUACGGGAGGCAGCAGUGGGGAAUAUUGGACAAUGGGCGCAAGCCUGAUCCAGCCAUGCCGCGUGUGUGAAGAAGGCCUUAUGGUUGUAAAGCACUUUAAGCGAGGAGGAGGCUACUUUAGUUAAUACCUAGAGAUAGUGGACGUUACUCGCAGAAUAAGCACCGGCUAACUCUGUGCCAGCAGCCGCGGUAAUACAGAGGGUGCAAGCGUUAAUCGGAUUUACUGGGCGUAAAGCGCGCGUAGGCGGCUAAUUAAGUCAAAUGUGAAAUCCCCGAGCUUAACUUGGGAAUUGCAUUCGAUACUGGUUAGCUAGAGUGUGGGAGAGGAUGGUAGAAUUCCAGGUGUAGCGGUGAAAUGCGUAGAGAUCUGGAGGAAUACCGAUGGCGAAGGCAGCCAUCUGGCCUAACACUGACGCUGAGGUGCGAAAGCAUGGGGAGCAAACAGGAUUAGAUACCCUGGUAGUCCAUGCCGUAAACGAUGUCUACUAGCCGUUGGGGCCUUUGAGGCUUUAGUGGCGCAGCUAACGCGAUAAGUAGACCGCCUGGGGAGUACGGUCGCAAGACUAAAACUCAAAUGAAUUGACGGGGGCCCGCACAAGCGGUGGAGCAUGUGGUUUAAUUCGAUGCAACGCGAAGAACCUUACCUGGCCUUGACAUAGUAAGAACUUUCCAGAGAUGGAUUGGUGCCUUCGGGAACUUACAUACAGGUGCUGCAUGGCUGUCGUCAGCUCGUGUCGUGAGAUGUUGGGUUAAGUCCCGCAACGAGCGCAACCCUUUUCCUUAUUUGCCAGCGAGUAAUGUCGGGAACUUUAAGGAUACUGCCAGUGACAAACUGGAAGGAAGGCGGGG